UGCGUAGGCGGCUUUUUAAGUCGGAUGUGAAAUCCCCGAGCUUAACUUGGGAAUUGCAUUCGAUACUGGGAAGCUAGAGUAUGGGAGAGGAUGGUAGAAUUCCAGGUGUAGCGGUGAAAUGCGUAGAGAUCUGGAGGAAUACCGAUGGCGAAGGCAGCCAUCUGGCCUAAUACUGACGUUGUUGCACGAAAGCGUGGGGAGCAAACAGGAUUAGAUACCCUUGUA
Molecule: ribosomal RNA, 225 nt
Filed under: uncultured Acinetobacter sp.
Lineage: Bacteria; Pseudomonadati; Pseudomonadota; Gammaproteobacteria; Moraxellales; Moraxellaceae
Description: partial 16S ribosomal RNA
Rfam family: Bacterial small subunit ribosomal RNA
Source: RNAcentral